Molecule: long non-coding RNA, 692 nt
Organism: Gallus gallus (chicken)
Lineage: Eukaryota; Metazoa; Chordata; Aves; Galliformes; Phasianidae
Source: Ensembl
UUUAAAGCCGGUGCCGCCGGCUCACGCUGAGCGUCGAGCCGCACUACUUUCAACUUCAACAGCUUCCACUCCAAGACAAGGCGCUGAGAUGCGCCGCGCCGUACCACAGAACUUCGACAGGUCCGCCGAGUUGGUCGUCCUCUCCCUCUACGCUUUCUAAGAAGAGCUUCAAAAUUUGCAGAGGUAAAGUUGAAAAGAGGUACUUGGUGGAUAAGGAACAGCAGUGGAUGAGGAAUGAGGAAGCUCCCGCUGGAGUUAUCCAUCCUGGACUACGAUGUGGUUCACUUCCCUCCAUCCAUGGCUGCUGCUUUCUGCUUGGCUAUAAAACUCGCUAAUAGAGACACGUGAGCAGUAAAGAACAAAUACGCCAGGAGCGAAAGCUUCAGGACAGGCACCGUGAUGGAGCUGCACUCCCCGCUCAUCUGUGACCUCGCCCUGCCUCUGGUGGAUUCUUUCUCUGAAUUCCAGUAGCAAUGGGCGUCUAUUUAUUAUGUGUCUUAUAUAUUUUAUUUCUAAUAAUAAAGAUUGUCUCCUGUUCUCCUGCUUCCCUGUCCCCGCCUGCUCUGAGCUGCGGGUCCGCGGGCGGGGGCUGCGGCUGAUGGGCGGGCGGCGACGCUGAGUGAACCCCGGUGUGUCACGUACCGGGUGGCUUUCGCCCAGCGACAGCCGCUGUGCCCUGCCUACACACGCCA